RNAcentral lists this ribosomal RNA (443 nucleotides) under uncultured Rhodospirillales bacterium. RNAcentral describes it as "bacterial SSU rRNA". It matches the Rfam family "Bacterial small subunit ribosomal RNA", at positions 28 to 505 of the family's 1533-position model. Lineage: Bacteria; Pseudomonadati; Pseudomonadota; Alphaproteobacteria; Rhodospirillales. The record is from RNAcentral.
GACGAACGCUGGCGGCGCGCUUAACACAUGCAAGUCGAACGAGAUUAUCAGCUUCGGUUGUUAGUCUAGUGGCGAACGGGUGAGUAACGCGUGGGAACCUACCCUAAGGUACGGGAUAACAGCGGGAAACUGCUGCUAAUACCGUAUGUGUCCUUUUGGAGAAAGAUUUAUCGCCUUGGGAUGGGCCCGCGUCGGAUUAGCUUGUUGGUGGGGUAAUGGCCUACCAAGGCUUCGAUCUGUAGCUGGUCUGAGAGGAUGAUCAGCCACACUGGGACUGAGACACGGCCCAGACUCCUACGGGAGGCAGCAGUGGGGAAUCUUGGACAAUGGGGGCAACCCUGAUCCAGCGACGCCGCGUGGGUGAUGAAGGCCUUCGGGUUGUAAACCCCUUUUACCCGGGAAGAUGAUGACGGUACCGGGUGAAUAAGCACCGGCUAACUCCG